CGGGACGGGUGAGUAAUGUCUGGGAAACUGCCUGAUGAGGGGGGAUAACUACUGGAAACGGUAGCUAAUACCGCAUAACGUCGCAAGACCAAAGAGGGGGACCUUCGGGCCUCUUGCCAUCGGAUGUGCCCAGAUGGGAUUAGCUAGUAGGUGGGGUAACGGCUCACCUAGGCGACGAUCCCUAGCUGGUCUGAGAGGAUGCCAGCCACACUGGAACUGAGACACGGUCCAG
RNAcentral lists this ribosomal RNA (232 nucleotides) under uncultured bacterium. RNAcentral describes it as "partial 16S ribosomal RNA". It matches the Rfam family "Bacterial small subunit ribosomal RNA", at positions 100 to 334 of the family's 1533-position model. The record is from RNAcentral.